RNAcentral lists this long non-coding RNA (1510 nucleotides) under Bos indicus x Bos taurus (hybrid cattle). RNAcentral describes it as "lncRNA (ENSBIXG00000007005.1)". Lineage: Eukaryota; Metazoa; Chordata; Mammalia; Artiodactyla; Bovidae. The record is from RNAcentral.
CUCGGGAAGGGGAAGAGACCCUCGAAGGUCCAGCCUAGGCAGGCGCCAGAGAAAGACUGGAGCCCCCGAAAAGGCGCAGGGUGCUUACCAUCGUCUGUGAUCGGGGCAUCCCUGGGGUCCGUAGGCGAAGGCCAUCUCUGGGGGGCCGCCGGCGCCGACAGGACCCGAGGCGCUCUCCAAGGCGCGCGCACAAGGCCGCGGGGCGCGGGGUCGCCGUCCCUGGCGGGCGCGGGGGCCUUUCGGGCCGCGUAGGCGCCCAGCGCAGCCACCAGACGCUGCCUGUCCACCCCGCCGGCCACUUUGGGGCUGAGCUCGUCCGGCUGGAGCCGGCGGAGCGUGCGCAGGGGGCGGCCCCCUGCGAGGUCCGCGCGCGCCGCGGGAGCGUAGGUCAGAGCGGACGUCUGAGCCACGAAGGUCAGCACGCUGUCGGCCAGGGGGUGGCCUGUCCAGCUCCGGCCCUGGGAGGGCAUCGGCGGCGGCGGCUGCCUGGGACAGGGCCUCCAGGUAGGGCAGGUAGCGCUGCAGGGCCUCGGCCAGCACGCCACCCUCCAGGCUGAGGCUCCGCUCGUCUGGGACGCUCUGCUUCGAGCUCCUGGGAAGGAGAGGGAGGCGUCAGGCGGUCCUCAGGCACAGUGCUGGCUCUGCCCUCAGGGCCCACAGCGGGCAGGGGGGCAGCAGGGCUGUGCAGGCACUCAGGCACCAGGCCAGGCGGCGAGGGCUGGCAGCGAGGGCCCGACCCGCCGCUCACACCGCCCACGGUGGUGCCCUGUCUGCACCCAAGCCUGGUGCUGGGACACAGGUGAACCUGGUGAGCGAACCCUGACUUACUUUCUCAACAGCCGCCCCACCACUGGGGGCAGAGACAAGCCGGAAUGGGGAGUCGGCCAGGACUUACUAAGUGCAGGGAGAACCUCAGCGGCAGAGAGGCUUCCCGGGCAGGGAGGGGAGACUGGCGAGCGCUGGGCCCGCCACCCCCUGCUCUGGGCCUGUCUCCGUCAGCGGCCUCCCCUCCACUCCCCGCCGGGUGCCAAGGAGCAGGCACAGAGGGUGAGAAGGUCGUGCUCACCCACCUCCCGGAAGAGGGGAACACAGGGGUCCGCAGGGCAUUGGCUUGCUAGUCAGCUGACGGGGAGAUGACCCCGGGCCCUCCUGGCGCCCCAGUGUGACCACAAAAGGCAGGCAGCAAUCCUGGGAAGCUGCCUGGAGGAAGGGACCUUGUUCUCGUGGGUUUUCUUGCUCUUUGCUCUCCUGAGAAUCUGCAUGGGGCCUCGGCCACAGUCAGCACUGGCAACGGUGUCCGCUGAACAAAUGAGCUUGGAAACAGGUGGUAGGCUCAGGUGACGCCGAGUUAGCGCAGAACCUGUGUCCCCACCGCUGACCUCGCAGAGGGCGCCUCUCCAGCACCAGGAAGGGCAGCCCUGUGACCAGACUCUGCUGUCACUGGGGGUGAGUUCAGGACAACCAGUGGUUGCCUGCGGUGAAUGGCAGUGAUGCAGGUCAUGAACUUGGG